AGAGCGAACGCUGGCGGCGUGCUUAACACAUGCAAGUCGAACGCGCAGCAUUCUGUAGCAAUACAGGGUGUGGGCGCGUGGCGUACGGGUGAGUAACACGUGGAUCAUCUACCUUCUAGUGGGGAAUAACUUUGGGAAACCGAAGCUAAUACCGCAUAAGCUCGAGAGAGGAAAGCAGCAAUGCGCUGGAAGAGGAGUCCGCGGCCGAUUAGCUAGUUGGUAGGGUAAAAGCCUACCAAGGCUACGAUCGGUAGCCGGCCUGAGAGGGCACACGGCCACACUGGCACUGAAACACGGGCCAGACUCCUACGGGAGGCAGCAGUGGGGAAUCUUGCACAAUGGGGGAAACCCUGAUGCAGCGACGCCGCGUGAGCGAUGAAGCCCUUCGGGGUGUAAAGCUCUUUCGGCGAGGGAAGAUUAUGACGGUACCUGCAGAGCAGCUGCGCUACUACGCGCCAGCAGCCGCGGUAAU
Molecule: ribosomal RNA, 472 nt
Filed under: uncultured bacterium
Lineage: Bacteria
Description: SSU rRNA
Rfam family: Bacterial small subunit ribosomal RNA
Source: RNAcentral